Molecule: long non-coding RNA, 618 nt
Organism: Dipodomys spectabilis (banner-tailed kangaroo rat)
Lineage: Eukaryota; Metazoa; Chordata; Mammalia; Rodentia; Heteromyidae
Exons: 5
Source: RefSeq, a predicted model, not a curated record
CCCCGCCGCCGCUGCUCUUCUCUAUGGCCCCUCGUACAUCUCGUUUCCGUUUCUUACCCCAUCGCUCCCUUUCGCUCCUCUCACCUCUUUACGGCCUCCCUGUUAACAGUCUGGUUAUCCCCCAAGGCUGCGGGAUGGGGAGUGCAGCUUCCCGACCUUCUUUCCUGGGCUGCAGAGAUGGUGGCGGCCGCAUGCGCAGACAGGGGCCGGAGUCUCCUGGCCGGCGCCCUCCGCCCCGGCCUGCGCCGGGGGCUCGCUGAGGUCUGACGGCUGUGUUUGGUGAAAGUUGGAUGGUGGCUGGAGAGUGAGGACUGCGGGGGACGUGAUACUGACGAGAUACUUCACAGGGCCAGGUUUUCCCGAGUUUCCUUACAGUAAUUGUCAUUAGAAAACUUCAAGGGAGCUCACCUGUGUUUGGAGAUGUUUAAGAUCUAACUAGCAGAACAACAUUCUGAUUAUCUACAGAGUUGGGAGAGGAGCUUCUCAGGAAAUACGCUGGCAAGAGAGAACUGACUACACUUCAAUAAAAUAUCUGCAAGCAGAUAGUUGAUGUGCAUGCCCUAUCUGGCAUAUACACCUACCUCUAAUUACAGAUGAUAAAUAAAAGGUUUCUGCCUA